UACGGAGGGUGCAAGCGUUAUCCGGAUUUACUGGGUUUAAAGGGUGCGUAGGCGGACUUUUAAGUCAAAUGUGAAAGCUUGCAGCUUAACUGUAAGAUUGCGUUUGAUACUGGAAGUCUUGAAUUUGGUGGAAGUGGGCGGAAUAAAUCAUGUAGCGGUGAAAUGCAUAGAUAUGAUUUAGAACACCGAUUGCGAAGGCAGCUCGCUAUACCAAUAUUGACGCUGAGGCACGAAAGCGUGGGGAUCAAACAGG
This 253-nucleotide ribosomal RNA is filed under the name uncultured bacterium. RNAcentral describes it as "partial 16S ribosomal RNA". It matches the Rfam family "Bacterial small subunit ribosomal RNA", at positions 524 to 776 of the family's 1533-position model. The record is from RNAcentral.